GACGAACGCUGGCGGCGUGCCUAAUACAUGCAAGUAGAACGCACAGUUUAUACCGUAUCUUGCUACACCAUAGACUGUGAGUUGCGAACGGGUGAGUAACGCGUAGCUAACCUUUCUGGUAGCGGGGGAUAACUAUUGUAAACGUUAGCUAAUACCGCAUAAUAUUGUUUAUUGCUUGAUAAUUGAUUGAAAGAUGCUAUUGCAUCACUACCAUCUGGACCUGUGUUGUGUUAGCUAGUAGGUGAGGGAAAGGCUCACCUAGGCGAGGACACAUAGCCGAGCUGAGAGGGUGGUCAGCCACACUGGGAAGGAGACACGGCCCAGAAUCCUUAGGGAGGCAGCCAGAGGGAAACUUGGGGAAUGGGCGGGAAUCUGGACGCACAAGGCCGCGGGAGGGAAGAAGGUUUUCGGGUCGUAAAGGUCUGUUGUAAGAGAAGAAAAGGUGUGAGGGUGGAAAGUUGAGACUGUGACGGUACCUAAACAAAAAGGACCGGCUAACUACGUG
This 505-nucleotide ribosomal RNA is filed under the name uncultured bacterium. RNAcentral describes it as "partial 16S ribosomal RNA". It matches the Rfam family "Bacterial small subunit ribosomal RNA", at positions 28 to 507 of the family's 1533-position model. The record is from RNAcentral.